RNA transcript from Myxocyprinus asiaticus (Chinese sucker), 3050 nucleotides. It is a transcript of the gene named galectin 8a, with no coding region annotated. Lineage: Eukaryota; Metazoa; Chordata; Actinopteri; Cypriniformes; Catostomidae. The transcript has 10 exons. The record is from RefSeq and is a predicted model, not a curated record.
CUACGCGCCUUUCACACAUGCGGAAGUGAAAGUGCAGAAAGUGUUGAUAUUUUCGUCAUCAUCUGAACGGACAACACAUAUUAACAUCAUAAAGAGACUUCUGUCAUAACAGUAUCGACAACAUGUCUGUCGCAAAUCCGAAACAAACAGUAUUGAAUCCAACGAUUCCUUAUGCUGGGACUAUCCUGGGUGGACUACAUCCCGGAGAGAUGGUGCUCAUUCAGGGCAGUGUGCUCAGUAAUGCUGACAGAUUUCAGAUUGACCUGACCUGCGGGUACAGCAUGAAGCCUAGGGCAGACGUGGCCUUUCAUUUUAACCCUCGCUUCAAGUGGUCGCCGUACAUUGUCUGUAACACACUCGAGAAGGAGUGUUGGGGACGAGAGGAGAUCCAUUACCUGAUGCCCUUCAGACACGGCGCUGCCUUUGAGAUCAUCAUACUCGUACAGAAAGAUCUGUUCAAGGUGGCAGUAAAUGGCUCUCACCUGCUGGAGUACAAGCACAGGUUAGAGCUCAAGAAGGUGGACACGCUGGCUAUAUCUGGGAAGGUUCAAAUUCAGGCCAUUGGAUUUAUUCCCAGUUCAGUGAGUAAGAGCCCUGUCACAUCACCAAGUGCAGCUGAGAGUAAAAGAAGUGAAAAGAAGUCUUAUACUGUCUUGUCGGAAUCAGGUGACCUGAAUCUUCCAUUCAAGAGUAAACUUGUGAAAGGACUGAGUCCAGGAGAUUCCAUUAUGGUGAAGGGUCGGAUCAGUGCUUCCCCAAACAGGUUUGCUGUAAACCUGCGUGUCAGUAACUCAGAAGACAUUGCUUUGCACUUAAACCCUCGCCUCAAGGCUGGAGUCUUCGUCCGAAACUCUUUCCUGUCAGGAUGUUGGGGGUCAGAGGAGCUCUCCCUGCCCAGUUUUCCUUUCUCUCCCAGCCAGUACUUUGAGAUGAUCAUCUUGUGUGAAGCUCAGCAGUUUAAAGUGGCAGUAAACGGGCUCCACCAGCUUAAUUACAAGCACCGCAUGCAGGAUCUGAGUCAGGUGGAUGAGCUGGAGAUACUAGGUGAUCUAGAGCUGAAGGAUGUGAAGAUGUGGUGAGCAGCUCCAGCCUGAAGACCAUUCUCAUGUGUUCUCCUACCAAGUACAUUUAAUCAACCCAAGCCUCAAGCAAUCAAAGCUAUGAUACUAAACCUAAAUAGUUUUAACUUUAAUUGAAUCCCUACCUAGUCCAAUCUGACUGGAAAUUAUACUUCUCAACAAUCUUUAUCUAACUAUUAGCAGAUUUAAACCAUACCUUGUUGUUUUGUUUGUUUUUUGAAAUCUUAAUGAAUUUGUGUAUUUAACAGCAUUCUACGUCAGCCAAAUCUAAUUGAAAGAUCCAGGUCAAAAUGGCCGUUCAUACAGAUUAAUUUUCAGCAAAACAAUCGACCAAAGUAAUUCAUUUUUAAUGAGAGUUUUCUGUCAUCACAAGUGAUAGUGAAAAAUUUAUUGGUGGCAUGAUGUGGGCAUGUCAAUCGACUUGAAAAGUUGAGAAGUUUAACUUUGUCCAAACGAGCAGUGACCCGAUGCAGAGACUAAUAAGAGACAUUGCAGCACAUGUGAUCCGUCUCCUGCGAGAAAUUCAGUAGGUUUACAAGUACUUUAAAGGGGUCAUGACAUGAGGAAUCAAAUUUUCCUUGAUCUUUUGACAUAUAAGAGGUCAUUGUAUUAUAAAAACAUACAGUUAGUUUCAGAACUCAAAACUUCCUCCUCACUGCAAAAAGAGCAUUUGUUGAAACCAAGCUGCCAAAACGACUUGUUCUCUACUUCCUCUAGAUUGUGAUGUCACACUGUGGUAGACAUUUGCAUCUGACCACCUCCACAACAACAAAUCAUUGCCUACUUUACCUUAUCACUUCUAUAGCCCCACCCAGUAUCGGUGAGCAGUUGAGAUGGCAAGGAGAGAGCAGUGUUCCUUCUUAGAUGUAAGAAAACUGAUUCGUGGUCAAAAUGGAAAGGCAUCUUACUUUUACUGGUGAUACAUCUCAUUUAUGAUCAGAUUUUCUAAAGUUAUCUAUGGCCAUUUGUGCCAGCCCACCAAUAGUGUUAGUGUAUCCAGCAGUAGGAAACAUUAUAGCAACAUGGUGACCUCCAAAAUAAAAUUACUUUGAAAAGAGCACAUCUCUAGCAAUGUCUAUGCUCACAUGUCAGAUUUGAACUUAACCAAAUAUGAGCAAAACAAGUCAUGGUAGAAUAGUAGGCUGGUUAAUACAGACCAGAACAGACCAAAUUUGGAGUUGGGCAAGUGAGGAGACCCGGAUGAGUUCAUGAGAGAUUGAUUAAAAAUGGCACUUCAUGUCAAAAAGGUCACCGACCAGUGAUAUAACAGAUAAAUGGUAAAAACUGGCACCUGGCAGGAUGUUAAGGUUUGUGUGACAGGAAUUGUCUCUCUAGCCAUUUGAUUAUAGAGUUAUUCCAGGCUAAUUCCAUCCUUUUGAAUAAUUACAGAUAAAUUAGCUCAUUUCAGACUAUUAGGGCAGAAGCAAGGCUGAUCCUGAUUUAUACCUUACAUUUUAAAUCAAUUGUUAACAAAUAACUUUUCAGUUUCCUUUCUGUCAGAGAGUUGUAAUCUAUUACAUUAGACAAGCAUGUUAACUAAUGCAGUGCCUGCACCAUGCCACAAAGGCAUUAUAGUAGCCCUACUGUACUGAAUAUCAAACUAAUAGUAUCAAUAUUCUGUUUCAGUUCAUCUAUUGAAUAUAUCAGUUAACGAAAUCAUCUCACAAUUUCCAUAUUUGAUGUAUUCAUGAGAUCUAAUCUUAAAAGAUUAGGCUGCAGGAACUCCAAAUGUCAUCUUGAUUUGCAUUUUGUUUGCAUCUCUAGAUAAAAUGAAUUUUGUUUGUAGCAUUUGCAGAACUAUGCAACAUUCCAACUGCCUGCAAUUGAUUUGUGCUACUGUUAUUUUGAAGAAUUAUAUCAAGGUAAUUUGUACCUGUAAGUUUUUUUUUCUUAGGUCUAUUUGACAAUGUAUGACAAAAAAGCAACAUUACUAUAUAAUCUAUUAUAAUAAAAAUGUUAUAUAUUUUACAA